RNAcentral lists this long non-coding RNA (570 nucleotides) under Pogona vitticeps (central bearded dragon). Its description in RNAcentral is "lncRNA (ENSPVIG00000005895.1)". The record is from RNAcentral. Lineage: Eukaryota; Metazoa; Chordata; Lepidosauria; Squamata; Agamidae.
AUGCUUUCAGCAAGCAGACUUCAACAGACUGACCGCUUCCAACGGGUAAAAGAGGGAGGGAAAAUGACACAGAGCAGAGAGGCGGGACUCUCUUUGAACUCAGAGGCAGGGAAGAAGCAAUUGGUUAGUACUGGAGAAACUGACAGUCACCCCAGCCCAGAAAGCUCCCUCUUAGCCAAAUCUACUAAAGGCAGCAUGCGAGAUUGCAAAUACUCCUACAAGUUUUGGGUUGUUUCCCCUGCAAGGUGCAAUUUCUUCCUUCCUUUUGGACUCUUGGGCAUACCCCGGGCCUCGCGGAGCAAGGAGAGUCAAGAAGCAAGAAUCUGACACGGUCAAUCUGGAUUUCACAUCCACCAGUGCUCAAAAGGGAGAAAAAGGCUCUCCUGGAAGCCAAGGCAGCAAAGGAGAAAAGGUACUUUUCAACCUAUUUGCACCUGUGCUGGUUGAAAAAAAGGACGUUCCCUCUGAAUCCCAGCAAAUCUUGGGAAAGUUACUUUUUUGGACUAGAACCCCAGAUUACAGAGGACAUGCUGGCUGGAUGUUUUCCAGAAGUUUUUGUCAUCCAAAAAA